AACCCUCGGACCACGCUGCGUAUCAGAGCCGCGAUCAUGCCGGUGCCGCGAACCUCCAAGCUCACGUCGUGAUGGCCUGUCUGAAGGAGUCGAGUCUACGGUCCCAGUUUUCGCGAGGAAACGUAUGGAGGUGUCCCUCGUCGAUUUUGCGACUCCGGAUCUUGGACAUAUUGUAGAGCUGCUGAGAAUAUAAGAGAGACGCGUAUUCAUAUCGUGUCUUAUAUUUCCGUCUAUUUUACCCCAGGUUUGGCUGCUCCGGAACAUAUCCAAGGAUCCUAUCUCAGGAUCAAGAAGGGACGUUUCCAUAUGUUUCCUCGGUUAACCCGGUGAAACGUGACACGUGUCGAGAAUAACGAAGAUAGUUGCCUGCAUAUACUCCAUGUAAGCGUGUUUUCUGACCAAGUUGAGCGCCUCGUAAAAAAGCCUGU
Molecule: long non-coding RNA, 428 nt
Organism: Dinoponera quadriceps
Lineage: Eukaryota; Metazoa; Arthropoda; Insecta; Hymenoptera; Formicidae
Exons: 3
Source: RefSeq, a predicted model, not a curated record